This 465-nucleotide ribosomal RNA is filed under the name uncultured bacterium. Its description in RNAcentral is "partial 16S ribosomal RNA". It matches the Rfam family "Bacterial small subunit ribosomal RNA", at positions 28 to 507 of the family's 1533-position model. The record is from RNAcentral.
GACGAACGCUGGCGGCGUGCUUAACACAUGCAAGUCGUACGGUAAGGCCCUUUCGGGGGUACACGAGUGGCGAACGGGUGAGUAACACGUGAGUAACCUGCCCACAACUUUGGGAUAACGCUAGGAAACUGGUGCUAAUACUGGAUAUGUGCUCCUGCUGCAUGGUGGGGGUUGGAAAGCUCCGGCGGUUGUGGAUGGACUCGCGGCCUAUCAGCUUGUUGGUGGGGUAGUGGCCUACCAAGGCGGCGACGGGUAGCCGGCCUGAGAGGGUGACCGGCCACAUUGGGACUGAGAUACGGCCCAGACUCCUACGGGAGGCAGCAGUGGGGAAUAUUGCACAAUGGGCGCAAGCCUGAUGCAGCAACGCCGCGUGCGGGAUGACGGCCUUCGGGUUGUAAACCGCUUUCAGCAGGGACGAAGCUUUUUGUGACGGUGCCUGCAGAAGAAGCACCGGCUAACUACGUG